GAGGCUCCCUUCUGGCAGCCAGGCUGGGAAGCUGGUGAUCUAGAAUUAGGCUUGGAGGGUCUGCAUGUGACAGGACCAGCCUUUUCAGGACUGAAACCCUCCCUUCCAGAUGGUUUGGUGCCAGUUUGUGUGUGCUGUCCCUCAGUCUGGAUGAGCAUGUGGGGCUCUGGUGGCUGCCACAUGGAGCUCAGCCCUGCCUGGGCCAGCAAAGGGAGCAGUGUCCUGUGGCCAGCAUGCCUCCAUAUGGAUGAGAAGGAAGAAUCUGUCUGCAUAGCUCUGGGUGGACUUUGUGCAAUGAAGCUGAAACACCAGAAGACCUGCUCAGCCAACUCUGCCUGCCCCACCUCCCUGCUGAGCGCUGUGAUUCAUCCUCGAGUAAUUAACCAGCAGCAGCAGCAGCACAGAGAGUACCUGCCUCGGCACAAGUGUGAAAACACAUCUACACCUAACGGGAGCCGGACUGAAGGGUUCCACUUUGAGUGACACCCAGGGAGCUGCAAAGUGACAAGAAGACAGAGUUGCCAAAACUCCCCAAACGCGGUCUGGUUUCUAUGCAACGUCCUUUUCAUGGGAUGAGAUGAUGAUGAUGAUGAUGCCUGGGUGUGAAGUCUGCUCCACUGCCUUCAGUGCAAGUCCUUGGCACACCUCUGGCUUCA
Long non-coding RNA from Oenanthe melanoleuca, 656 nucleotides. RefSeq lists it as uncharacterized. The record is from RefSeq and is a predicted model, not a curated record. The transcript is spliced from 3 exons. Lineage: Eukaryota; Metazoa; Chordata; Aves; Passeriformes; Muscicapidae.